Molecule: long non-coding RNA, 414 nt
Filed under: Chinchilla lanigera (long-tailed chinchilla)
Lineage: Eukaryota; Metazoa; Chordata; Mammalia; Rodentia; Chinchillidae
Description: lncRNA (ENSCLAG00000028197.1)
Source: RNAcentral
CGCAGGUGCUAGAAAUGACUUGAUAACCACAGAACUCUGCACAGAAACACUUACUACCUGCCGUCCACAGUGCUGAGCACUCCCUCACUGUGAGGCAGCUACUGCUGGUCCCAUUGGACAGUCAGGAAAUCCAUACUUACUCUGCUUCACAGUUCACCUGGUCUUGCUGCCACAUGGCUCCGGGCAAGUUGGCGUCCUCCUCUAGGACAGGGUGGGCUUUGUAAAGGUAAAUAUUACAUAAGGAAGCAAAAGUGCUCUGAGGAAAGUUUAAGGAGACGCGAGUGGAUUAGGUCUCAAGUUUUUCCAAAACGAAAGUACUCAAGCUUUCUCCCCCAGAUUCAACAUCAUCUCUGGCAGCUGUCACCAAGAAAACUGCAGAGAGAAACAUGCAUCUUGCUUUUCAAAAAUUCCUAG